UGAGCUGGUGCUAACCCCAUACAAGAUCC
RNAcentral lists this non-coding RNA (29 nucleotides) under Mus musculus (house mouse). Lineage: Eukaryota; Metazoa; Chordata; Mammalia; Rodentia; Muridae. The record is from RNAcentral.